This 2115-nucleotide ribosomal RNA is filed under the name activated sludge metagenome. RNAcentral describes it as "bacterial LSU rRNA". It matches the Rfam family "Bacterial large subunit ribosomal RNA", at positions 1 to 2003 of the family's 2925-position model. The record is from RNAcentral.
GGAAGACACUAUGAGCAGAUGGUGGAUGCCUCGGCGCUGCGUGCCGAUGAAGGACGUGGCAUAGCUGCGAUAAGCGUGGGGGAGCCGCGAGCGGGCGUUGAUCCUACGAUCUCCGAAUGGGGCAACCCCCUGGCCUGCGGGCCAGGACCGCCGUUAGGCGGAGGGCACCGGGGGAACUGAAACAUCUCACGUACCCCGAGGAACAGAAAUCAUCCCCGUAGUAGCGGCGAGCGAACCGGGGGCAGCCUAAACCGUGGUCGUGUCAAGCCGGCAGGCCUUGCGACCGCGGGGUUGGAAGACAUCAAUCGGUGUGCUGCCGCGCACCAAUCGUGAGCUCACACUCUAUCCGAAGACGUCUGGAAAGCGUCGCCAUAGACCGUGACAGCCGGGUAGGAGACAGGGCCGUGACCCGAUCUGAUGCUCUUGAGUAGCGCCGAACACGAGCAAUUCGGCGUGAAGCUGGGGGGCCCACCUCCCAAGGCUACAUACACGCAGUGACCGAUAGCGCACAGUACCGUGAGGGAACGGUGAAAAGAACCCCGGCGAGGGGAGUGAAAUAGAUCCUGAAACCGUCUGCUUCCGUGCAGUCGAAGGGGUAGGGCGUAAGCCACCCUGACGGCGUGCCUUUUGGAGUAUGAUCCGACGAGUUACCCUCAGUGGCCGGUUAAGCCAGUCAUAGGCGGAGCCACAGCGAAAGCGAGUGUGAAUAGCGCGUGUGUCGCUGGGGGUAGACCCGAAACCGCUUGAGCUAUCCAUGGUCAGGCUGAAGCGUCCGUAACAGGACGUGGAGGGCCGCACCGGUGUAGGUUACAAACUGCUCGGAUGAACUGUGGAUAGGGGUGAAAUGCCAAUCGAAAGCGGAGAUAGCUGGUUCUCCCCGAAAUGCAUUGAGGUGCAGCCCGGGCUUUGGCGCUGCUUGAGGUAGAGCACUGUUGUUGUGCGGGGGCUUCACCGCCUACCAAGCGACGGCAAACUCCGAAUGCAAGUAGCGUACCCCCGGAGUGAGACAGUGGGCGCAAACGUUCAUUGUCAAAAGGGAAACAACCCAGACCUGCAGCUAAGGUCCCGAAAUCCAUGCUGAGUGGCAAAGGAUGUGUCGUUGCACAAACAACCAGGAGGUUGGCUUAGAAGCAGCCACCCUUGAAAGAGUGCGUAACAGCUCACUGGUCGAGUGAUCUUGCGCGGACAAUGUAACGGGGCUCAAGUUCAGUACCGAAGCCGCGGAUGCGACUCUUUGAGUCGUGUGGUAGCGGAGCGUCGAGCGUGCAGCGAAGCGGCGGGACAACCCAGCCGUGGAGCGCGUUCGAGUGCGAAUGUUGGCAUGAGUAGCGAAUGAGGGGUGAGAACCCCCUCCGCCGUAUGUCCAAGGGUUCCUGGGCGAGGCCAAUCCUCCCAGGGUGAGUCGGGAGCUAAGGCGAGGCCGAGAGGCGUAGUCGAUGCACAACUGGUUGAUAUUCCAGUACCACCAUGUUCGCGUCCGUCCCAAUACUCUGUUGCUAAGGGGCUGUGUUGACUUCGGUCAACGCGAACCGACCCACAUUGUUGCGGGAAGCUGUAGGGGGACGCAGGAAGGUAGAUGAACCCGGUGAAUGGUAGAACCGGGGUAAGCGUGUAGGAGGAGGACCAGGUAAAUCCGGGCCUCAUAAACUCUGAGACGUGAUACCGAGCCGCUUCAGGCGAAGUCAUUGAUCCUAUGCUGCCUAGAAAAGCCCAGCAGCGAGUUGACAUGGUGCCCGUACCCCAAACCAACACAGGUGGACAGGUAGAGCAUACCAAGGCGAGUGGGAUAACUAUGGUUAAGGAACUCGGCAAAUUGCCUCCGUAACUUCGGGAGAAGGAGGACCCCAGUAGCGUGAUGAGACUUGCUCUCUGAGCGUGAAGGGGUGGCACAAAAUUGAGGGAAGCGACUGUUUACCAAAAACACAGCAGCGUGCUAAGCCGUAAGGCGCUGUAUACGCUGUGACUCCUGCCCGGUGCUGGAAGGUUACGGGGAUGGGUUAGUCCUUCGGGACGAAGCUCUGAACCUAAGCCCCAGUAAACGGCGGCCGUAACUAUAACGGUCCUAAGGUAGCGAAAUUCCUUGUCGGGUAAGUUCCGACCUGCACGAAUGGCGUA